ACAUUCUUCUCAUGGAUAUAGUUUACCUUCAGAAGUGUGCGAACAGAAUCGCUGUUUGACAUUUCUAAACAUAUUUAUUUUUAAAUGUGUAUAAAUGUGAAAUACCUGUGCUUGGAUCCAAUACUACCUAACGACGACAGCUAACUACUGUACGGAUGGAAUAUUUUCUACCAGUGUUAACAGGAGCAAGCAAAGUCGUCUGUUACGAAGAGAGGCCAGACGUGAUUGAAAAAAACCCAACGAAUCUGGAAGGUCGAAUGAGGCUCUGCAUUCCCUAAGCUUCAUUAAUACAGUGGACUGUCGGGCAAAUGAUUGCUUUACUGUUAACACAGGCUGGACUGUACUUUGCAUCACUUACUUUAUGGCUGAGAUCUUCAAUUAUACCUAUAGUUAUAUAGUUCUAUUUUAGUUUCUAUUAUCGUAAUAGAUGUUCCUUUGAUUAAGAAAUGAGUUCCAUUUGAUUUGCUGUUCGAAUUACUGUAAAUGGUUUGGACAAACUAUAAAACGUUUUAUCAAUAGUAGUACUUGUGAUGCAAAUUUAUCUGGAUCAAAAAUGCAGAAGUCCAGUUAGGUCUUUGGGGUUCCUCGCAAGGCAACACUCAAUUCUUGUUAUUCCUGGCUG
Molecule: long non-coding RNA, 622 nt
Organism: Gigantopelta aegis
Lineage: Eukaryota; Metazoa; Mollusca; Gastropoda; Neomphalida; Peltospiridae
Exons: 3
Source: RefSeq, a predicted model, not a curated record